This 469-nucleotide ribosomal RNA is filed under the name uncultured Sinobacteraceae bacterium. RNAcentral describes it as "bacterial SSU rRNA". It matches the Rfam family "Bacterial small subunit ribosomal RNA", at positions 335 to 796 of the family's 1533-position model. Lineage: Bacteria; Pseudomonadati; Pseudomonadota; Gammaproteobacteria; Nevskiales; Nevskiaceae. The record is from RNAcentral.
UUGCCUACGGGCGGCUGCAGUGGGGAAUAUUGGACAAUGGGGGAAACCCUGAUCCAGCGACGCCGCGUGGGUGAAGAAGGCCUGCGGGUUGUAAAGCCCUUUCGGUAGGGACGAAAGCUCUCGACCUAACACGUCGGGAGGUUGACUUAACCUACAAAAGAAGCACCGGCUAACUCUGUGCCAGCAGCCGCGGUAAUACAGAGGGUGCGAGCGUUAAUCGGAAUUACUGGGCGUAAAGCGCACGUAGGCGGCUUGGUAUGUCGGGUGUGAAAUCCCCGGGCUCAACCUGGGAACUGCAUCCGAAACUGCCUUGCUCGAGUAUGGGAGAGGGAAGCGGAAUUUCCGGUGUAGCGGUGAAAUGCGUAGAUAUCGGAAGGAACAUCAGUGGCGAAGGCGGCUUCCUGGACCAAUACUGACGCUCAGGUGCGAAAGCGUGGGGAGCAAACAGGAUUAGAUACCCCUGUAGUCU